This 68-nucleotide transfer RNA is filed under the name Stomatella planulata. RNAcentral describes it as "tRNA-Ser". Lineage: Eukaryota; Metazoa; Mollusca; Gastropoda; Trochida; Trochidae. The record is from RNAcentral.
AAGAAGAAAAGGCCAUAAAGUGGUGCUGCUAACUUCGCUUUGGGCGGCUCAAUUCCGUCCUCUUCUUU